This 474-nucleotide ribosomal RNA is filed under the name Streptococcus mutans. Its description in RNAcentral is "bacterial SSU rRNA". It matches the Rfam family "Bacterial small subunit ribosomal RNA", at positions 28 to 475 of the family's 1533-position model. The record is from RNAcentral. Lineage: Bacteria; Bacillati; Bacillota; Bacilli; Lactobacillales; Streptococcaceae.
GACGAACGCUGGCGGCGUGCCUAAUACAUGCAAGUGGGACGCAAGGGAACACACUGUGCUUGCACACCGUGUUUUCUUGAGUCGCGAACGGGUGAGUAACGCGUAGGUAACCUGCCUAUUAGCGGGGGAUAACUAUUGGAAACGAUAGCUAAUACCGCAUAAUAUUAAUUAUUGCAUGAUAAUUGAUUGAAAGAUGCAAGCGCAUCACUAGUAGAUGGACCUGCGUUGUAUUAGCUAGUUGGUAAGGUAAGAGCUUACCAAGGCGACGAUACAUAGCCGACCUGAGAGGGUGAUCGGCCACACUGGGACUGAGACACGGCCCAGACUCCUACGGGAGGCAGCAGUAGGGAAUCUUCGGCAAUGGACGAAAGUCUGACCGAGCAACGCCGCGUGAGUGAAGAAGGUUUUCGGAUCGUAAAGCUCUGUUGUAAGUCAAGAACGUGUGUGAGAGUGGAAAGUUCACACAGGAAACGG